AAGAAUUUCAGCUUUGGGUGCUGACGG
RNAcentral lists this non-coding RNA (27 nucleotides) under Cricetulus griseus (Chinese hamster). The record is from RNAcentral. Lineage: Eukaryota; Metazoa; Chordata; Mammalia; Rodentia; Cricetidae.